This 1346-nucleotide ribosomal RNA is filed under the name uncultured bacterium. RNAcentral describes it as "partial 16S ribosomal RNA". It matches the Rfam family "Bacterial small subunit ribosomal RNA", at positions 28 to 1381 of the family's 1533-position model. The record is from RNAcentral.
GACGAACGCUGGCGGCGUGCUUAACACAUGCAAGUCGAACGGAAAGGCCCUGCUUUUGUGGGGUGCUCGAGUGGCGAACGGGUGAGUAACACGUGAGUAACCUGCCCUUGACUUUGGGAUAACUUCAGGAAACUGGGGCUAAUACCGGAUAGGAGCUCCUGCUGCAUGGUGGGGGUUGGAAAGUUUCGGCGGUUGGGGAUGGACUCGCGGCUUAUCAGCUUGUUGGUGGGGUAGUGGCUUACCAAGGCUUUGACGGGUAGCCGGCCUGAGAGGGUGACCGGCCACAUUGGGACUGAGAUACGGCCCAGACUCCUACGGGAGGCAGCAGUGGGGAAUAUUGCACAAUGGGCGGAAGCCUGAUGCAGCAACGCCGCGUGCGGGAUGACGGCCUUCGGGUUGUAAACCGCUUUCGCCUGUGACGAAGCGUGAGUGACGGUAAUGGGUAAAGAAGCACCGGCUAACUACGUGCCAGCAGCCGCGGUGAUACGUAGGGUGCGAGCGUUGUCCGGAUUUAUUGGGCGUAAAGGGCUCGUAGGUGGUUGAUCGCGUCGGAAGUGUAAUCUUGGGGCUUAACCCUGAGCGUGCUUUCGAUACGGGUUGACUUGAGGAAGGUAGGGGAGAAUGGAAUUCCUGGUGGAGCGGUGGAAUGCGCAGAUAUCAGGAGGAACACCAGUGGCGAAGGCGGUUCUCUGGGCCUUUCCUGACGCUGAGGAGCGAAAGCGUGGGGAGCGAACAGGCUUAGAUACUCUGGUAGUCCACGCUGUAAACGGUGGGUACUAGGUGUGGGGUCCAUUCCACGGGUUCCGUGCCGUAGCUAACGCUUUAAGUACCCCGCCUGGGGAGUACGGCCGCAAGGCUAAAACUCAAAGGAAUUGACGGGGCCCCGCACAAGCGGCGGAGCAUGCGGAUUAAUUCGAUGCAACGCGUAGAACCUUACCUGGGUUUGACAUGGAUCGGGAGUGCUCAGAGAUGGGUGUGCCUCUUUUGGGGUCGGUUCACAGGUGGUGCAUGGCUGUCGUCAGCUCGUGUCGUGAGAUGUUGGGUUAAGUCCCGCAACGAGCGCAACCCUUGUUCACUGUUGCCAGCACGUUAUGGUGGGGACUCAGUGGAGACCGCCGGGGUCAACUCGGAGGAAGGUGGGGACGACGUCAAGUCAUCAUGCCCCUUAUGUCCAGGGCUUCACGCAUGCUACAAUGGCUGGUACAGAGAGUGGCGAGCCUGUGAGGGUGAGCGAAUCUCGGAAAGCCGGUCUCAGUUCGGAUUGGGGUCUGCAACUCGACCUCAUGAAGUCGGAGUCGCUAGUAAUCGCAGAUCAGCAACGCUGCGGUGAAUACGUUCCCGGGGCU